GCCUGCUUGAGUCCCUGCAGUGUCACAGCCCCGUAACUGAGAGUCCCCAGCAGGCCAGUCCUCAGUAGACACUGCUCUGAAUGUCUGCGAGCCACCUGCCAGCGGACGUAUCAGGGCGGUGCCUUUUGAAGUCAUCUGACUGCUCAUCUCUGGGGAAUGCGUCAUCUAUUAGGUGGCGAGUUGAUGCCGGUGUCUAACACAGCACUCUGGAUGGGCUCACCCAGGCCAGCGGGAGUUCUCAGCCCUGGCAGCCGGAGGGGAGCGUGGGGUGCGCACAUCUCCUUGAGUCAGCUUGUGUCCCCUCAGCAGAGGGGUCCACACAAGCGGAAAGACGCACCAAAGACUCCCCUGCAGAGCAGCGAAACGAAGGAUCCUCUCCGGUGGGAUUUAACAGCUUCAAAGCUAGAGACAGGAGGCGGCAGUCCUAGCUGUGUGCACUUAGGAACUGUCGGUGACAAAAGUGUGCUGAGCUGUGUCAGGAGGUGGCACACUAAAUAGCAAACCAGCCUCAGGAUUUUUCAGAGCCUUUCAAGGAGCCAGUGUCCAGCACAGAUCUUCAGGAGAGGAUGUAUUUUAACCCAGAUCCCUCCCCCGUCUACCUCUGAUUCCUCUUAUGAUGGGGAAGGAUGCCAGUUUCCACAGAGUGCUGCAGGGACCCCGGAGCCCAGGGAAAGGGCCAAGACUCGCAUUUCUAGAGCUGAUAAGAAGGAAACCAUUUAUUGCAUUGGCUCCCGCCUAAAGGAUCGCACUGAGCCGCCUGCAGAGAGAGAAGUGUCUGGGGGCUCCUAGGAGGAGCCCAACCAGAGGGGACAGCAGACGGCAACCACCCCGGGGGUUCACCAACGUGUGAGCAGCUGUCGGCCAGUUGGACUAUAAAUAAGGAUGACAGAACUCCCUGGGGUCUCCCUGGCCUGUGGGGAGGCUCAGACAGCGGUCAGCAGCCUUUCUUCACAGCAGUAUCAGCACGUGAUGUGGCAAGGCCAGCAGAGCCCCCAGGAGCCCCAGCCAAGGAGAAGCUCGGAGACCAAAACCAAAGGCCAUCCAGGCCUGGGACAUUCUGAUUCUACCCAGCAGUCAUGUGCUGAGCCCCCACCAGGAACCAGAAAAGGUGGGCAUGAAGACAGAGAGGUGAUGGAGACCCCCGUCCCAGGACCUUCAGGGCUCUGCCCCCGGCCACCACCACGGCCAGCAUCUCGGCUGUCCGGCCCACCCUCUUAAGCCCUUUGCCACGAGGUCCUGAAAUCCCCGUUAAGCCAGCUGUACUAUUUGCUCUUUUUUUUUCCCCAAUAAACACUCAUCGUGCUUCGUCCAUGUGUCAGGCACAGGGCAGAUCCAAGAGCCUUGGCCCUGAACAAAAUAAAUGACUCUCCCGUGUGCUGUGGUCACAGCUGGAACCUCUCACCUUGAACCUGGAACAUCUUUCUCCCCGCUCACUGUCGAUGCCGUUUGCCACUGUGCCGCCACUGUCACCUUUCUGCGGGGUCACUGUCCCUGGUGCUCCCCGCUCUGGGGUGGGCAGCCCUCGUCUUUCUGUGGACCUGGUCCCU
Non-coding RNA from Vicugna pacos (alpaca), 1547 nucleotides. NCBI's taxonomy places the organism in Eukaryota, Metazoa, Chordata, Mammalia, Artiodactyla, Camelidae. The record is from RefSeq and is a predicted model, not a curated record.